Molecule: ribosomal RNA, 302 nt
Filed under: uncultured bacterium
Lineage: Bacteria
Description: bacterial SSU rRNA
Rfam family: Bacterial small subunit ribosomal RNA
Source: RNAcentral
AAGGGCUACCAAUGGACGAGCUCGCGGCCCAUCAGCUUGUUGGUGAGGUAAUGGCUCACCAAGGCUAAGGACGGGUAGCUGGUCUGAGAGGAUGAUCAGCCACACUGGAACUGAGACACGGUCCAGACUCCUACGGGAGGCAGCAGUGGGGAAUAUUGCGCAAUGGGCGAAAGCCUGACGCAGCCACGCCGCGUGUGCGAUGAAGGUCUUCGGAUCGUAAAGCACUGUGGAGGGAGAAGAAUAAAGCCGGUGAAGAGCCGGCCCUGACGGUAUCCCUUUAGCAAGCACCGGCUAACUCCGUG